UACAGAGGGUGCAAGCGUUAAUCGGAGUUACUGGGCGUAAAGGGCGCGUAGGCGGUUAUAUAAGUGAGAUGUGAAAUCCCUGGGCUUAACCUAGGAACUGCAUCUUAUACUGUAUAACUGGAGUACUGUAGAGGGUAGUGGAAUUUCCGGUGUAGCGGUGAAAUGCGUAGAGAUCGGAAGGAACACCAGUGGCGAAGGGCAGACAUCCUGGCCUGUUCUUGACGCUGAGGCGCGAAAGCUAGGGGAGCAAACGGG
This 255-nucleotide ribosomal RNA is filed under the name uncultured bacterium. RNAcentral describes it as "partial 16S ribosomal RNA". It matches the Rfam family "Bacterial small subunit ribosomal RNA", at positions 524 to 776 of the family's 1533-position model. The record is from RNAcentral.